AACGCACAUUGCGCCCUUUGGUAUUCCGAAGGGCAUGCCUGUUCGAGCGUCAUUAUCACCCCUCAAGCCCCCGGCUUGGUGUUGGACGGUUUGGUGACAGAGCCUUCGGGCAACGGUCACCCCUCCCAAAGACAAUGACGGCGGCCUCGUUGGACCCCCGGUACACUGAGUUCCUCACCGAACACGUACUGGAUCAAGGGCCCGCGGAGCACGGUCUGCCUCCCCUCAGGGAGAACUUUUAUCUCAAGGUUGACCUCGGAUCAGGUAGGAAUACCCGCUGAACUUAA
Molecule: unclassified non-coding RNA, 287 nt
Filed under: uncultured Minimelanolocus
Lineage: Eukaryota; Fungi; Ascomycota; Eurotiomycetes; Chaetothyriales; Herpotrichiellaceae
Description: sequence contains ITS2
Rfam family: 5.8S ribosomal RNA (bases 1-52)
Source: RNAcentral